RNAcentral lists this ribosomal RNA (471 nucleotides) under uncultured organism. Its description in RNAcentral is "partial 16S ribosomal RNA". It matches the Rfam family "Bacterial small subunit ribosomal RNA", at positions 334 to 797 of the family's 1533-position model. The record is from RNAcentral.
CACUCCUACGGGAGGCAGCAGUGGGGAAUUUUGGACAAUGGGCGAAAGCCUGAUCCAGCAAUGCCGCGUGAGUGAAGAAGGCCUUCGGGUUGUAAAGCUCUUUUGUCAGGGAAGAAACGGUGAAAGCUAAUAUCUUUUGCUAAUGACGGUACCUGAAGAAUAAGCACCGGCUAACUACGUGCCAGCAGCCGCGGUAAUACGUAGGGUGCAAGCGUUAAUCGGAAUUACUGGGCGUAAAGCGUGCGCAGGCGGUUUUGUAAGUCUGAUGUGAAAUCCCCGGGCUCAACCUGGGAAUUGCAUUGGAGACUGCAAGGCUAGAAUCUGGCAGAGGGGGGUAGAAUUCCACGUGUAGCAGUGAAAUGCGUAGAUAUGUGGAGGAACACCGAUGGCGAAGGCAGCCCCCUGGGUCAAGAUUGACGCUCAUGCACGAAAGCGUGGGGAGCAAACAGGAUUAGAUACCCGUGUAGUCCA